CACACGAACCCUAUCGUCAAUUUCCUUUAAGUUUUGCUUAAUCAACAAACCCAGCUCUUUCAAAUCCAUCGAAUUCAAACUCUGCAAUAUCUCUUUUCCAUUCAGGCUUUGGAACAUGGCAGUUUUCAACUCCUUCUGUCAAUUUUCCUUACGCAGUUUCCUAAGAUGUUGAGUAGCUUUGGCUAAAGCUUUGCUCAAAGAAACUCUCUUGGUUAACCAUCAAUUGUUUUGUUUCGACAGGGGCAGCUUCUUGGACUUGGACAGCAAGCGUCGGGCACUCACGUGGGACGACCAUACCUCAGGUUGGGAGUUGAAAUCAGGAGAGUACAUAAUAGUACAAGCUUCAAUCCCAUAAAGGGUAGUGAGUUCAUGCACCUUCUUCACUAGACCCUUGGUUCUUUUCUUGUAAGUAGUUUUCCUUACUAAAUCAUUGGUAAUGUAGGCAAGCUUUAUUUUCUUUCUAGACAUGGAUAAUUGAAGAUUUAUUUUCUAUGCAUUUGAUUACAUGUUACCCUCACAGUGUGUGUGCUUAUGUAUGGAUAUUAGAGGCUUGUAGAGAAGAAGGGAUGCCCCACUUAUCCUUACUGGACACAUAUUAAUGUUGGCCUAAAAAGGAAAUGAGAAGAUAGGUGUUCAAAUUCCAGUUAUGAUACCAAAUUCAUUACCAUAAUAGCUGCAAUUUUAAUGUCGACAUUAAAUGCAUAAGUAUGUUUAAAGUUCAUAUAUCUGGCUUUCAGUUAUAUAUUUCAUAUUUCAGUGAUAUAUACCAUUUGUGUCACAAAGGUCGAAAUAAACUUCUCGUAGGCAUUUUACCGGGUUUUUGGGGCUCCAGAGGUUAGGAAUAAAUUGGAGACUUGGGAGUUAAUAGUUUAGGGAGAAAUAAUUCACUUCCAUGGUUGGUGGGUGGGGACUUCAACGAUAUUCUUUAUGCUCAUGAAAAAUAGGGCGGCUUGCUAAGGGAAGAGGCUCGGAUGAAGGCUUUUCGUAAAACUUUGGAAGAUUGUCAAUUGGAGAAUAUUGGUUUUUUAGGUGCUUGGUUCACGUGGGAAAGAGGCAAAACUAUGGACUAGAAUAUUAGGGAAAGAAUUGAUAGAGGGGUGGCCACUGAUUCUUGGUUUCAACUUUUUCAAAAGUAUUCUUUAACGCAUCUUCCACAUUCUUUCUUGGACCAUUGUCCAUUACUUAUGGAAACGGAAGAUGAAAAGAGGGGUAAAAAAUCUGUUAAGUUUCGAUUGAAGUUGAUAAUCUUAUAUAUCCCAAGACAAAGAUAGCAUUAAAACCAGAUAGCGCUGUCAAUAACAUCCUGAGGAACAACGCGCUUUAGUAAGCACACGAACCCUAUUGUCAAUUUCCUUCAAGUUUUGCUUAACCAACAGACCCAACUCUUUCAAAUCUAUCAAAUUCAAACUAUGUAAUAUCCAUUUUCCUUUCAGGCUUUGGAACAUGGUUUUCAACUCCUGUCGAUUUUCCUUACACAAUUUCCUAAGAUGUUGAGUAGCUUUGGCUAAGCUUUGCUCAAGGAAACUCUCUUGGUUAAACCAUCAAUUGUUUUGUUUCAACAAGGCAGCUUCUUGAACUUGGCACAGCAAGCGUCGUACACUCGCGUGGGACAACCAUACCUCAAGUUGAGAGUCGAAAUCAAGAGCGUAGAUAGCACAAGCUUAAAUCCCACAAAGGGUAGUGAGUUCAGGCACCUUCUUCACUAGACCCUUGGUUCUUUUCUUGUAGGUAGUUUUCCUUGCUGAAUCAUUGGUAAUGUAAGCAAACUUUAUUUUCUUUCUAGACAUGGAGAAUUGAAGGCUUAUUUUCUAUGUAUUUGAUUACAUAUUACCUUCACAAUGUGUGCUUAUAUCUAGAUAUUAGAGGCUUGCAGUGAAGAAGGGAUGCCCCACUUGUCUUCGCUGGACACAUUAAUGUUGACCUAAAAAGGAAAUGAGAAGAUAGGUGUUCAAAUUCUAGUUAUGAUACCAAAUUCAUUACCAUAAUAGCUGCAAUUUUAAUGUAGACAUUAAAUGCAUAAAUAUGUUUAGGGUUCAUAUAUUUCGCUUUCAGUUAUAUAUUUCAUAAUUCAAAAAUAUAUACCAUUUGUGUGUCGAAAUAAAUUUCUCGUUGGCGUUUUACCGGGUUUUAGGGCUCCGGAGGUCAAGAAUAAAUCGGAGACUCGGGAGUUACUUAGUAGUUUAGAGAGAAAAUAUUCACUUCCAUGGUUGGUGAGUGGGGACUUCAAUGAUAUUCUUUAUGCUCAUGAAAAACAGGGUGGCUUACUAAGAGAGGAGGCUCAGAUAGAGGCUUUCCGUAAAACUUUGGAAGAUUGUCAAUAAGAGGAUAUUGGUUUUUCAGGAGCUUGGUUCACGUGGGAAAGAGGCAGAACUAUGGACCAGAAUAUUAAGGAAAGAAUCGAUAGAGGGGUGGCCACUGAUUCUUGGUCUCAACUUUUCCAAAAGUAUUCUUUAAAGCAUCUUCUACAUUCUUUCUUGGAUCAUUGUCCAUUACUCAUGGAAACAGAGGAUGAAAGGAGGGGUAGAAGAUCUUUUAGGUUUCGAUUUGAAGCCUGGUGGGUUUUGGAGGAAACGUGUGAGUAUGAAAUAAGAAAGUUAUGGAAAUGUAGUUUUGGUUCCUUUCUAAUUCGCAUGAAAAUUCUUGCUAAUGGAUUGCAAGUUUGGGGGAACAAAAUUAAAAAUAAAAUAGGGAAGGAAGUGUAACAUUUGACUAGGAGACUAGAGGAGUUGAAUUGUGAUGAAAAAUCGGAGAAGAAUUUGGGUGAGAUUGUCAAAGUCAAACUUCACUUGAAUAUGGAGUUGGACAAAGAAGAGAAACACCAGAAGCAACGAGCAAGAGUUGGUUGAAAAUAGGGGACAAGAAUACUUCGUUUUUCCAUAAAUUUAUUUCUUAAAGAAGGCGAGUCAAUCGAAUCCGGAGUUUACAAACAAGUGAUGGAUCUCUUGCUACGAAUGGCAAGGAGGUGAAGAGCAUUGCUCAUUAGUAUUUUUCUGGUCUUUUUAAAUCUAAAGGAAUUGGUGACUUGGAGCACAUUCUUUCUAGAGUCCAUUCGUGUGUAUCGGACAAUAUGAAUCAAAGCUUGAUGGCCACUUACAAGGAGGAUGAAAUUAUUGAGGCACUGAAAGGAAUCGGGCCUACAAAAGCCUCGGGUGUUGAUGGUUUUUCGGCUAUCUUUUUACCAAAAGUACUGGCAUAUUUUUGGUAAGGAUGUUAGUGGUUUUUUUUAGAUAUUCUUAAUAAUGGCAAACCUUUGGAGGAUAUUAACAAAACCCAAUUGGUAAUAAUCCCCAAAAUGGCUAAUCCUAUUAAUUUAAAAAAAUUUCGCCUUAUCAGUUUAUGCACAGUUAUUUAUAAGAUAAUUGCAAAAACUAUUGCUAAUCGACUUCAAAAGGCUUUGCAUGAAUGUAUUGAUGAUUCACAGAGCGCUUUCAUAUCUGGUAGACUCAUUACUAACAAUGUACUUUUAGCAUAUAAGGUACAUCACUUGUUUAAGAAUAAAAGAUCUGGGAGAAAGAGCCUCAUGGCUUUAAAACUUGAUAUGAUUAAGGCCUACGAUAGAGUGGAGUGGCCUUUUAUAAAAGGAAAGAUGUCAAAAAUGGGUUUUGAUGAACAUUUUAUUAAACUUAUUAUCCGCUGUGUGAAUUUUGUCCAAUAUUCCAUUUUGAUUAAUGGGGAAGAAGGAUCAAGUUUUAAGCCUUGUAGGGGUUUGUGCCAAGGGGAUCCUUUAAGCCCAUAUCUUUUUUUUGUUUUGUAGGGAAGGAUUGUCUGCGCUAAUAAGAUUGACAGGUCAAGAAAAGAAAAUUUAGGGUGCUAAAAUUUGUAGGUCUGCCCCACCUCUUACCUACCUAAUGUUUGCUGACGAUUGUAUUUUGUUUGGAAAAGUAUCGAAUCAAGAAAUAAAUGUGCUGAAGAAUAUUCUCACGGAGUAAAAGUCUUGCUCAGGGUAAUGUGUUAAUUAUGAAAAAUUCACUGUUUUUCAGUACUAAUGUGAAGGAUGAUGACAAGAAUCAUGUUUUUCAGGCUCUCAAUGUUUCAUUGUUCGACAAACCUGGAAAGAUAUCUUCGACUUCCAAAUUGGAUGGGUCGUUAAAAAAAAUGGCUUUGAAAGAUCAACUGAAGUACAAAAUCAAUAACUAGAGUAUCAGGCAUAUUUCACAAGAAGGUCGAGAUGUCUUUAUUAAGGCGAUUUUACAAGCUAUCCCCACUUAUACGAUGGCUUGUUUCCUUUCACCAAAAUCUCUUUGCUUAGAGUUGGAAAAACAUAAUGGGUUCAUUUUGGUGGAAGAAUAAUCAUGGCAAGCGAAGAAUGUAUUAGUGUAAUUGGAAGUCCUUAUGUGCGCUUAAGGAAGAAGGUGGUAUGGGUUUGUGUCAUCUAAGUUCUUUUAAUAUUGCUUUAUUGGCCAAACAGGGUUGGCAUUUGUUAUGUAAUCCUACUUUACUAAAGCGUACUUUGAAAGCCAAAUAUUUUAAAGAUUCUGAUUUCUUAAACUCUAGACUGGAAAAUUUACCUCUUUUACCUGGCAGAGCCUUUGGGGUGCGAUAGGCCUCCUUUUGAAGGGACUGGGCUGGAGGAUCGGGGAUGGUCAGAAUGUUUCUAUUUGGAACGAUGUUUGGAUUCCUGGAAAUGACGAGGUCAAAGUCUAAAAUAUGAAUAGUAAUCCACAGCUCAUAAAAGUUGCAGAUCUAAUUGAUGCUAAUUCUAGAAAAUGGAAAUCUAAUUUGGUUUUUAGUACCUUUCUGGAGCAAGUUGCAGAAAGGAUUCUUUGUAUUCCUCUUUCUUUGUUCAUGCAUGAAGAUUCUCUCGUUUGGCGAGGUGAGUUGUCAGGGGAGUACCCGGUUCGUAGUGGUCACAAAAUUCUUUUACAUGACAGACAUAAUCAAAUACAUGCAGAUUAUAAACAAAUUUACAAGAAAUUGUAGAAGCUGGAUCUACCUUCUAAAAUUAAAAUUUCAGUUUGGUGACUCUUGUGUAACUAUCUGCCUACUUUUAGUAAUCUUCACUAUCGAAGAAUGCUAGCUUCUCCUACUUGUCGGCGGUGUCAAACUGGAGCGGAGACAAGGGAAUAUCUAUUUCGUGAUUGCCCUUUUACAAAGGAGACAUAAGAGCAGUUAAGUAUUUUUUGGUCUAUUUCAGAUGAAAACUCAAAUUUCAGAGAUUGGUUAAACAAUUCUUUUGAGACCAAAUCUAUGGCAAACUGCAGAAUGAUAGCAUGUGCAUUGUGGGCGAUUUGGACAUCUCGAAAUAGAUUUAUUCAUGAAGGGAAAUUAAAAUCAGGUGCACAAGUUACUGUUUUUGUGAAAAACUAUUUAAAGGAACUUAAUGGUUUACAUAGUUCUGUACCUGAAAGAAGGGUGUGUGUGUACAGAUGGGUUGCUCCGGUGGGUUAGUGAUUUGAAACGAUAAAGCUGGGAUCAUUUGUUCAAAAACUGUAAUGAACAAGAACAUACCGUCUGUCUUGCAGCAAAAACAGUGGCGUGUUUCCAGGCACUGAAUCUUGGUUUUCAACUAGGUUUGAGAGAGGUAGAGAUUGAAGGCGACUCUCGGUCAGUAAUUCGGAAGCUGCAAGGACAGAUCUGAGAUUUUAGCGUAUAUCAACAAUUCUCUGAAACUGAGUUUAAGAUUCAGUUUAUGUGGUUUUCUUUUUACCAACAAGAAGCCAAACAAGGUAGCCCAUUUACUAGCAUCUGAAGGAAUUAAGAAAGGGGAAACUACUUAUCUGUUGAAUAUGGUCCCUUCUGGUGUUGCGGAGGAAAUGGCUGAAGAUAGGAGGUGGACGGAGGAGGCGAGAGAGUCAAGAGGGAGAGGAAAUGAAGAGGUAGGUGGGAGUGUUUUUUGAAUUAGCUGGUAGCAUUCAAAUUGGAUAUUAUCUCUAAAGUGCAUUGGGGUAAAUGAAAAGGUUUCUGAAAGGGGUUGGAUUUGAUGGCUAAUUAAAGUUUCUGCUAUGUUGUUUUUCUCAGGUGUUUUCGUUGUUUUCAAGAGGGGUUCUUUUAUUGGUGUACAGCUGGAGUUGGAAGACUCUAGAGCUCCCUUUUGACGUUUUGCUAGAUCUGAUAUUGGGCCUUUUUUUUAUUUGUUUUGGC
This 6081-nucleotide long non-coding RNA is filed under the name Gossypium barbadense (sea-island cotton). Its description in RNAcentral is "long non-coding RNA (GBAR_LNC012853)". Lineage: Eukaryota; Viridiplantae; Streptophyta; Magnoliopsida; Malvales; Malvaceae. The record is from RNAcentral.